RNAcentral lists this ribosomal RNA (457 nucleotides) under uncultured bacterium. RNAcentral describes it as "bacterial SSU rRNA". It matches the Rfam family "Bacterial small subunit ribosomal RNA", at positions 29 to 533 of the family's 1533-position model. The record is from RNAcentral.
AACGAACGCUGGCGGCAGGCCUAACACAUGCAAGUCGAGCGCCCCGCAAGGGGAGCGGCGGACGGGUGAGUAACGCGUGGGAACGUGCCUCUUGCUACGGAAUAGCCUCGGGAAACUGGGAGUAAUACCGUAUGUGCCCUACGGGGGAAAGAUUUAUCGGCAAGAGAUCGGCCCGCGUUGGAUUAGGUAGUUGGUGGGGUAAUGGCCUACCAAGCCGACGAUCCAUAGCUGGUUUGAGAGGAUGAUCAGCCACACUGGGACUGAGACACGGCCCAGACUCCUACGGGAGGCAGCAGUGGGGAAUCUUAGACAAUGGGCGCAAGCCUGAUCUAGCCAUGCCGCGUGAGCGAUGAAGGCCUUAGGGUUGUAAAGCUCUUUCAGUGGGGAAGAUAAUGACUGUACCCACAGAAGAAGCCCCGGCUAACUCCGUGCCAGCAGCCGCGGUAAAGUACAGUGU